AUCGAAACCCCACGAUAANUUUCACUUUAAUUUCAAAAUUUAUAUACCUCCAUCUCAAGAAUUAACUCAAAAAUAUUUCUCUCAAAAACAAAUAAAAAGUUAGGUCAAGGUGUAAUUCACAUUAAAGAAUCAAAUGAAUUACAUUAAACACAAUUUAAAGAUUAUUAUUUAAAUAUUAUAUAAAUCAGGAUUUAGAUGUAAUAAUUCAAUAAUAUUAUAAUAUGAUAUAGAUAAUAAAUGUGCACACAUCGCCC
This 254-nucleotide ribosomal RNA is filed under the name Spiricoelotes taipingensis. Its description in RNAcentral is "partial 12S ribosomal RNA". Lineage: Eukaryota; Metazoa; Arthropoda; Arachnida; Araneae; Agelenidae. The record is from RNAcentral.